Passer domesticus (house sparrow) is the source of this 981-nucleotide long non-coding RNA. RefSeq lists it as uncharacterized. The transcript is spliced from 4 exons. The record is from RefSeq and is a predicted model, not a curated record. NCBI's taxonomy places the organism in Eukaryota, Metazoa, Chordata, Aves, Passeriformes, Passeridae.
CACGCCUGAAAUGCAAUUGGUUACAGACAUCAAAGUGGCCUUGGUACACAGGUUAUUGAGUAUCACACUCUGCCUUACAGCACAGACAGAAACAAGGCUCCUCUCCUGCAAAGGCAGACUGCUGCUGCAUUCUAUACAAUCUAGUGAUGUUUUAAAGGUGUUUACCUGCCUAAUAGCUCACUGAGUCAGAGAAGUGACAGUGAUGGCCAACUGCAAUGUCACAGAAUUGAAGGCAGGAGCAGGUGACUGGAUGAAUUCCACAUAUUUAACAUAAGCAAGUGGGAAAAGCAGCAGAGAAAAGACAAUCUGACUGCACAAAGAAAGGAGGAUGAAACAGAGGCUGAGGUUAUGCAGCUGGACAGGGGAGCAGACAUUUGAAGCCAUAAAUAAAUUCAAUCUGCACAUCCAGUAUAUAGCUUGUACUUUUUCACUUGUUGGAGCCUUUUUCUCCAGUGCAACACAGAUACCUUCAGAGCUAAAAACACCAUGCUCAGGCUGGUGCUUCCUGAUGUUUGGUGAUUCCACUCCGUGAUGAAGGUCAGCUCUUACUAUGAACUUAACAAACACUAUGUAUUUUCUCAAAUCUCUUAGUCCCACCUAGCUACCAAAGUUUCUGUUUCUGGGUGCUAAAUGAGACAAGACUAACAGGAAGAACUGUUUUCUAUGGGACAGCUGGAGUGGUAUCACUGCAGCUACUGGUAAAGACAUAGCCACAACAGGCUUGGUUAUCUUAUCUAUCCUCUUGGUGCAACAGCUUAUUAUGCCAGCAUUAUAAAAUAUCCUGCCCUACAAAGGGAAAAACCAAUUAUCCUGAGGUAUAUUUACUUUGCACUCUCUGUAGGAUCCUAGGAUGGUGUUGUAAAGUACACGUUAUUGAAUCAGUGAUGCUUCACUCAUGUGCACAAUUCCACAAGCUGUGGGAUGAUUCAUGUGCAGCUGUGUCUGAGUCAGACUGUCUGAGCUGGGCUGUCACAUACCACA